CCUGAUCUCCGGAAAGUCCUUGACGUCCUAUGCGACCAAUACGUCCCUGACAAAAAAAUAAAUGAUGUUAAAUUAGUCGUUACUUACAGUAUAUAUCAGAGAGAAAGGUUCCUUAAGCCCUGGGCAAACUAGGAAACAUUGUUGCGGAAACAUUGUUUCCUACCAAUGUUUCGCCAUGUUUCCCAGAGUGGGCAAACACUAGGAAACAUUAGUGAGAAACAUAGGGAAACAUCAAACGUUUCUGAAUUUGCUAGGAAAUAUUUUUGCUUCUCGGGAAGCAAAUUUUGUUUCCGCAACAAUGUUUC
This is a non-coding RNA of Paramuricea clavata, 305 nucleotides long. NCBI's taxonomy places the organism in Eukaryota, Metazoa, Cnidaria, Anthozoa, Malacalcyonacea, Plexauridae. The record is from the annotation of a GenBank genome assembly.